GAACUUGAGGAAGAAAGUUACUACGUUAAUACAGCUGUGUGCACUGUGGACAAGAGGUCAGCCACCUCAGAUAAGAAGUGUGGCUCCUUCACUCAGUGUUUUCUACCAGUAGCAGUGAGUUGGGUGAUACUGUUGGUAAUCUUGGUCCUUCAUAUCUACUUUACAUCUGUCAUCUCUGAAAACAACAACAAGCUGGCUGACCUCAACAACAAACUCAGCUCAGAAAAUGAAAGAUUGAGGAGAGACAAUGAUGAUAAGACAGUCAUCAUUGGAAACCUGACAAAGGAAUAUAAUUACCCAGAAAUCAAGAAACUAACUGCAGAGAACCAACAACUGAAGACAGAGAAGAACAAAUGAACAGAACAAAUACGAAACAUAGAGAACAACGUUACUGUCGCCCAGCAGAUCAUUGAUGCCUACUGCCCAAUAAAAGACGGAAGUAAGUUCAGAUCUCAUAACUCAAGUCCAAAAAUAACCAAUAAUAAUGUAACAAUGCAGUAAUGUUGUUUAUUUGUUGGUUUCUCUUAUUUCAGACAGACAGUGUAAACCUUUCCUAGAUGGCUGGGAUCA
Long non-coding RNA from Scomber scombrus (Atlantic mackerel), 570 nucleotides. RefSeq lists it as uncharacterized. The record is from RefSeq and is a predicted model, not a curated record. The transcript is spliced from 3 exons. NCBI's taxonomy places the organism in Eukaryota, Metazoa, Chordata, Actinopteri, Scombriformes, Scombridae.